CAAAACCGGCUGCGGUCAGGGCGCGCCAAAGCUGGACAGGGGCGCUGGGGGGAAGAAAACCCUGUGGUCCGUGGACCGGGAACUGCGCUCUGAAAAGCCGACCUAGGGAGUCCUUCCGUACUACCAGAGGACGAACCGCCAAGUGCGCGCAUCCCAGAGCGGCCCCCACCCCGCGCCUUGGCCCGCCAGCUUCCGCCUCGCCCCGGGGCCUCGCAAUCCAGGACCUUCCCCCACUUCCUGGCCGAAGUUGCCUCGACCCCGCCCUGCCUCGGGCCGCAGUACGGCCUUAACGCGUUGCAGGGCAGCCCAGCCCCACUUCACACCUGCUGUCCCUGUUGGCGUACGUGUCCCAGGAUCAGCCUAACUGGAAAAUUACAGUCGUUUAUAGAUUAAAAAGUUGCAGAACUUCUUGAAGGUUUAUGAGAACAUCAUGACCAGAACUACCGUGGACAGCUGCAAGAACAAAGGAUUAUCACACCCCUCUGAGUCUGGCCAGUACCAAGGGAUCUGCAACAACCAGCCACAACCCCUCCCCUUUUGGUGUAAAAGAAGCCUGAAUUCUAACUCAGGGGACUCGGGUUCAAUCCCUGUGGGAUCCUAAGAGCCCGCAUGCCGCGGGGCAACUAAGCCAGCACACCACAACUACUAAGCCUGCAUGUCUCAACUAGAAAGAGAAAACCUGCACGCCACAACUAGAGAGAAGCCCGCGCGCCGCAGUGAAGAGCCCAUGCACCGCGAUGAAAGAUCCCGCAUGCUACAACGAAGAUCCCACAACUAAGACCCAGCGCAGCCAAAAAUAAAAUUUAAAUUAAAAAAAAAAAAAAAAAGUCUCCCAAACCAUGGUCGAACUUAUGACCAUGAGGGUACCCUGCCAACUAAAAAUUUUCGCUUGCUACCUGGUUCUAUAAGAAUGAAGUCACUAGCCACUGCAGUCACUGACCUUCAAC
Long non-coding RNA from Physeter macrocephalus (sperm whale), 947 nucleotides. RefSeq lists it as uncharacterized. NCBI's taxonomy places the organism in Eukaryota, Metazoa, Chordata, Mammalia, Artiodactyla, Physeteridae. The transcript has 3 exons. The record is from RefSeq and is a predicted model, not a curated record.